Chelonia mydas (Green sea turtle) is the source of this 260-nucleotide long non-coding RNA. RefSeq lists it as uncharacterized. The transcript has 4 exons. The record is from RefSeq and is a predicted model, not a curated record. NCBI's taxonomy places the organism in Eukaryota, Metazoa, Chordata, Testudines, Cheloniidae.
GCUGGGAACAGAUCAGGAAUGCUCUUCAUAACUUCUCAGAACUUCUGUUGUUACAUGCUUCAUCACAGAGGAUGUUGGGAAGAGACCUGCUCUUUUCUGGUAAAGAAUCAAAAAGUUCAAGGCAGUGAAGCUAUUCCACAGUUGAUACUCCAGCCUCACCUCUCCAGUAACCCUAAGAAAGGACUGCUUUCAUCAUCCAUCAGUUUAAGUCUUUACUCCUGAGGGCAUUCUGUGCCAAAAAAUUAAAAAUUCUCUGCACA